RNAcentral lists this long non-coding RNA (1218 nucleotides) under Anas platyrhynchos platyrhynchos (common mallard). RNAcentral's name for it is "lncRNA (ENSAPLG00000021931.1)". The record is from RNAcentral. Lineage: Eukaryota; Metazoa; Chordata; Aves; Anseriformes; Anatidae.
AUUUCUACAGAAAAAUAAACUGCCUAGCAUUGCCACCUGACAUUUAUAGUUUGGAGGACAUAAAACUUUUCUGAGGUCCCUUUAUUUUUUACUCUCAGCUGUUUAUAGUUCUUCAGGGGUACACUGAUCUGUAAGUAAAUACAGAAAAAGAAAGGGCUGCAUUCACAUUUUCAAGAUUUCAUCACAUACUGAUUGCUCUAGCCCAUUUUGCUGCAAAGUCCAGAUGGAGCAGAACACUAAGGGAGAAAUUGGACAGCACUGGGGCAUUCUGAAGUUGUCUUCUUCGCUCUUCAUGGGAUUGAUUAAGAUCACCUAAGUCAAACAGCGAUAUGAAGUGUAUUUUAAUGUAUGGUGCUACCUGGCUGUAAAAUUAUGCACUAUUGGAUGAAAUUAAUUUCUGAAACCUGUAGGCUUCUGUUAACAUGAUAUAUGGGGAGUUGGUGUUAGAGGUCUUGCUGGCAUGUGUGUAUUAAAUUGGAUAUGAUUUUUUGCCAGAUAGCUGUGCUGGUAGAAGUGCUAAUUGUCAGAUGCACAUAUACUGGUGCAACUUUUAUUAGCAUCACUUAUUUUAUUUCACUUAACUGAAAUAAGCCAUCCUGCCUUAAGCACUUCCCUGGCAGUGGAAAUGUGUCUAUAUCGAAAAGUUUUUUACCUAGCAGUGUAUUUGAAAGUGUAGAUUGAUCUUUGUUCAAUUUGCCAUUUCCUUUGUCCAUGUAGGUGCCUUGUGAAAUUCCACUUUGCUCCAGAUUUCAGGGAUAGAUGUUGCUUCAUGUACCCAGGACCUGUUUCAAAUUCAGCUAAUUGAGAUUAUAUCUGCCUCGGCCUCUUCCGCAAACACUGGAUUCACUGGAGUGUGUUACAGACAAUACGGCUCUCAAACAAUGAAGCAUUUGUGUUCAUUUUCUUGUAUUUUAUCUUUGGAAUUCUACUAUUUAGGUCACUAUCUGUUGCUUCCAGCUACUCUUCCCUGACAAAGUGUAGCUCUUUUUAGGCUUAAAAAGAUAUAAUCAAUGAAUUCAUCUAUGUUAUUCCUCUGGGUAUAAAGGUCUAGAUGUAAUAAGUGCUGCACAUAGUCUAAGAUUACAUUGCCAUGCCUGAACUGCAGCCCCAAGAUUAAUUGUGCAUUAUAGGCCAAAAUUUGAAGAGCUGCUGGAUGCUGACCUCUUCAAAAAUCUGAGAUAAAUAACACAAUAAAGAACAUUAUUACCAAAUUUCUCA